CUUUAAAAUUUUAUCGAAACGUCAAAUUCAAAGAAAAAUUAAAUCAAAAGCAACUUUGUUAUUGCAACAAGGUUUGCCCACGAAUAGUGAUAAUGAGACUAAUAUCCCUUCUAUUCCAUUAUUGCCAAAAAACUGCAGUGAAAAUAUAACUACACCUUUAAACACUGUAACCCCAAAGAUUUGUUUAGAGCCUAAUGCAUCCUGUUCUAAAUUUAAUGAAAAUAGUUUGAAUGAGGAAAAUAAUUUAGAAUUCUUGGAAACUGGAUCAACUUUUGAUUUUGAUUCUGUCACUGACUCGUCUGAGGACAACGUAAAUGAUGAUGGUAGUAAAAAUGUAGUUUCCUCGUUAAGCCAAUGGGCUUUUCAAAAUAAUAUUACGAGUACUGCAACUACUCAACUUUUAUGCAUCUUAGCGCGUUGGACGAAACUGCCAUUAUGGUCGAAACUAUCCAAAGCAAUUUGAACAACAGUGACUCCGUUGGCCGUGCUCUGUAAUAGGCCAUGGAUCUGGUAUGAAACAAAAUGCACGUGACAUAACUACAUUACAGACAUUAAACCAGAAUUCAGUUGCACACAGUUUUAACAAGUCUGGCUUCAAUUCAAACGACCAAUGAACAAAUACUUCUAACCAUGCAGGAAAUAUUACGAUUUAAUAAAAAAAUUGCUUUAGAAAAAUUAAUUGCCCCUGAAAAUUUACCAUCUUUUCCUCUUAAGUCCAUGGAUGAAUUUUCAGGUUUUGAAAAUUUAAUAAAAGGGGACUCGACCGUCAAACAAUAUAUGGUACGUCGAUUAGCUGCUUUGGGAGGAUCCGGGGUUGAGGCCGUAACCAGACGUAUUAUGAAAUUUCUACUUACUAGUGAGGUAGGGAACCAAUUUAAUUGGAAGGGCCGCCAUAACAAAGUUAGUUUUGAAACCACUGCCAGUAUGGCUAUUGUUUACGAGGCCGCCAGGCUUAAUUUUCCUAUGGCCGAAAAAAACGAUUUAAAGGUAGUAUGGAGCGUAAAGGAGUGGCUAAAGCAUUCAGCCACGCGCAUAAAACAUGGUGAAAGGAUUUAAAUAUUUGCCUCAUCUAUAGGUUACGACGUUUCUGUAAAUGUACAUGUUAUAAACCUUCUUUUUUCUUAAAAAUUAGUUCAGUUGCGUUUAGUCUUAAACAUUGAUUGAGUUAUUUUUUUUUAUCAAGUUUACGUUUGUGUAAGAAUACUUUAUUCUAACAGUUUUUUGUUAAACAUUAUUUCAGUUGAACUUAAUUUGAGUAAUGUUAAUAUUUUUUUAUUCUUAGAUUAAUGUUUACGUUUGUGUAGAUAUACAUUAAAAUAUUUACCAUUUCUUUUGGUAUAAAUUGGUUUAGUUGCGACUUAUUUAAAGAAUGUUA
RNAcentral lists this long non-coding RNA (1375 nucleotides) under Anthonomus grandis grandis. RNAcentral describes it as "uncharacterized LOC126744312". The record is from RNAcentral. Lineage: Eukaryota; Metazoa; Arthropoda; Insecta; Coleoptera; Curculionidae.